Molecule: microRNA precursor, 85 nt
Filed under: Bombyx mori (domestic silkworm)
Lineage: Eukaryota; Metazoa; Arthropoda; Insecta; Lepidoptera; Bombycidae
Description: mir-2807 microRNA precursor family
Rfam family: mir-2807 microRNA precursor family
Source: Rfam by way of RNAcentral
UUAACUCAAAUUAGUAUGGAAUUGGAUACGUUUGCCUACGUUUACCGCUAGGGGCGCUGUACACACUGCAUACAAAUUUGAGUUA